This 372-nucleotide ribosomal RNA is filed under the name uncultured organism. Its description in RNAcentral is "partial 16S ribosomal RNA". It matches the Rfam family "Bacterial small subunit ribosomal RNA", at positions 527 to 896 of the family's 1533-position model. The record is from RNAcentral.
GUAGGGUCCAAGCGUUAAUCGGGAAUUACUGGGGCGUAAAGCGUGCGCAGGCGGUUGUGCAAGACCGAUGUGAAAUCCCCGAGCUUAACUUGGGAAUUGCAUUGGUGACUGCACGGCUAGAGUGUGUCAGAGGGGGGGUAGAAUUCCACGUGUAGCAGUGAAAUGCGUAGAGAUGUGGAGGAAUACCGAUGGCGAAGGCAGCCCCCUGGGAUAACACUGACGCUCAUGCACGAAAGCGUGGGGAGCAAACAGGAUUAGAUACCCUGGUAGUCCACGCCCUAAACGAUGUCAACUAGUUGUUGGGGAUUCAUUUCCUUAGUAACGUAGCUAACGCGUGAAGUUGACCGCCUGGGGAGUACGGUCGCAAGAUUA